AGUGAACGCUGGCGGUAGGCCUAACACAUGCAAGUCGAACGGCAGCACAGUAAGAGCUUGCUCUUACGGGUGGCGAGUGGCGGACGGGUGAGGAAUACAUCGGAAUCUACUUUUUCGUGGGGGAUAACGUAGGGAAACUUACGCUAAUACCGCAUACGACCUACGGGUGAAAGCAGGGGAUCUUCGGACCUUGCGCGAUUGAAUGAGCCGAUGUCGGAUUAGCUAGUUGGCGGGGUAAAGGCCCACCAAGGCGACGAUCCGUAGCUGGUCUGAGAGGAUGAUCGGCCCCACUGGACCUGAGACACGUUCCAGACUCCUACGGGAGGCAGCAGUGGGGAAUAUUGGACAAUGGGCGCAAGCCUGAUCCAGCCAUACCGCGUGGGUGAAGAAGGCCUUCGGGUUGUAAAGCCCUUUUGUUGGGAAAGAAGAGCAGCAGGUUAAUACCCCGCUGUUCUGACGGUACCCAAAGAAUAGCACCGGCUAACUUCGUG
This 491-nucleotide ribosomal RNA is filed under the name uncultured bacterium. Its description in RNAcentral is "partial 16S ribosomal RNA". It matches the Rfam family "Bacterial small subunit ribosomal RNA", at positions 29 to 507 of the family's 1533-position model. The record is from RNAcentral.